Molecule: long non-coding RNA, 2055 nt
Organism: Vigna radiata var. radiata (mung bean)
Lineage: Eukaryota; Viridiplantae; Streptophyta; Magnoliopsida; Fabales; Fabaceae
Exons: 5
Source: RefSeq, a predicted model, not a curated record
UCACUCACUCUACUUUUUUCCCCAAUUUCAAAAUCUGAGUGCGAGUUCUCAAAAGAUAAAUGUCUUUUGGUUUUUGUUUUCAUUUUCAUUUCACCUUCCCCAUCAUCACAUGUGCUCCAAUCGCUCGUCGGCUAUUGCUCGUCGGCUAUUGCUGGUCUCCCAGUUCUACAACAACCGUCGUUUUUCGCUAAAUUUCCCAACCACUCAGCUUCCCAGAAUCACUUGUAGCCACUCCGCUUUCGAAGUAUGCUCUUCUCCAGUUACUCUACGGCCUUUGCUUUACCACUCUACGACUAUGUUUGACAUCAACUACGCGUCGCAUAGAAGUUUCGUUUUUGCACUUUGUACACCCAGAAUGUAUGUACCUGCUUAAUCUGUUAUAUUCCUCAUUCUGUCGUGAUGUGCUAUGUUGGAAGGUUAAUGAUUUGCAAUUUAGACUUACUGUGAAUCUAACGAAUCAAGAAUGAACUCUUAAGCUGCUUCUCCUGGAUUCUGGAUGCCAUGUUAGAGAUUUAUCCAUAAAGUUGCAUGGUGGAGUAGCUUGGCUUUACCAAGUGCUAGUAGAUGUUUUUGCAGGAAGUAUAGCAUCUGGAGUUGAAGAGGCAGUUUCUGAUCAAAUAAAUGAGGGGAUAUCAACUCUUGAUGUUUUAUUACAAUCUCUUCCAAAGACUUUCCCAAUAGACGAAACAACUGCUCUAAAUGUUUCUUUCGUGAACAAUCCUGAGCUAAGUGAUUCUGCUAUUUAAUUAGAAAUUAAUGGUUUAUUGAUAGGAAGGAAUGAAAUUUUGUCACCUCAAGGUUACCGCAGAGGUUCAAACUUUUCUGUUUCUCGUGACAACCCUUCGCCAAAGAUGAUAACAAUUUCAUUACAUGAAAAUGUUUUCAAAUUCGGUUCCUUGGUUUACUUCACUGUAUGUUUAUGGAGUCUUUUACUUCUUUUAUUCUUGGCUUUAUUCAAUAAAUGGAUAUUAUAAACUGAGAUAUAGUUUUUGAUGGUUUAUGUUGUUCUUGUGCUCACUCAGGCAGAUACUUUGAAAUGGACUGUUGAUGAACUGCCUGAUGUAUGCAGCAUUUUCCAUCAUCUGGCUUUGGGUUAUACUGUUUUAUGCAGCAUUUUGAUGGAUGUUAAAUGUUUGGAACACUUUUUUUCUGAAUGACUUGCUUGAAUUCCCUAUUGGACAUUAUAUUUUCUUCUAUUGCUCUGUUACACAUGCCUUGUUGAUUUUCAUCUCUAAAUGAUGCAAACUGUCAUGAGCUAUGGAUAAAAGGUUAUUGACCUUUGUUAGAUAGUCCUUGAUUAGGCUCAUGGAAAAUUGAUGCACGGUAUAGAUUGUAAUUGGUAUUUGUGCUUUCCUCUUAAAUCAGAAAACAGUUCAACCUUCUACUGAAGUAAUGUUGAAGUCAAUCUUUCUUAGUGUUUAUCAGAAAUAGAGAUACCUUAGGAGUGACCUUACACUUCCUUUGAUGAAUUAAAAGAAUGAUAAUUUUAUACUAAUUAUUAUUUUAGUUAUAAAUUACAUUUUUUUUUCUUUUUUCAUAAUGUAUGAAGCAUUGCGUAAAUAUUUGGUUUUUUAUUAUUUGUUUGUUGGUUUUAUUGCUGGUAAUUUUUUACCUGGAUUUUCUUGCUUUAGUUUUUUGUUACAAGAUAUAGAUAUGUCAGAUGUUUCAAGAUAGAGGAGAAUAGUAUAUGGGAAUCUGAACUUUACUGGUUGCAGGAUUUGGACACAGGCCAUCUGCCAUGGGUGCUCCAAAGCAUGAUGGGUUGGAUUUUGCACAUGGUUUUAAAGCUUGGCCUCUUAAUAAGAAGCAAGCUAUUGAUGCAAAUGAGUUCGAGUCUUUUUUAGUACAAGACAAUCAUUUGGUGGAAGUAAUAUUUAGAGAGCUUAUGAAAUUUUUUUAGGAUAAAAUUAUAUCAAGUUUAUUAUGAAUUUUGAUUAUUUAUUGAUUAAGUUGUAAGGACGAGUUUUAUUUUAAUUUGAUUUUAUGUUACUAUGAUGAUUUUGACAAUGAAAUUAUAUAAAUUUGUGAUGUCUUUGAUACAUUAAUAUGAUUGAA